This 387-nucleotide unclassified non-coding RNA is filed under the name uncultured fungus. Its description in RNAcentral is "sequence contains ITS1". The stretch from base 1 to 105 matches the Rfam family "5.8S ribosomal RNA", at positions 50 to 154 of the family's 154-position model. Lineage: Eukaryota; Fungi. The record is from RNAcentral.
AAAGUGCGAAAAGUAAUGCGACACGCAUACCACUGCGAGGCAUCCAGUAUUUGAACGCAAAUGGCACGUAGACAGGAAUGUCUACGUAUGGGCGGUUGAGGGUCGAAUACAGUAUCACGCCUUGAUGGGUGUGGAUGUGUCCCAAAUUGGGAUUGAAUACAUGGGGGGUGUGAUGAUAUGUAAAGUGUUCAUCCCGAGGACAAGAAUAAUAUUCUCAGUUCAGGGUGGGCAUGUGGGGUGUGAUAUCAUAUCACAUACCAAAUCAUACAUCACCUCCCAGGCUAUACAGCUGACGUUGGAUAGCACAUGAUACUUGGACAUUCGGCUACGCCAAAUGUCCAAUUACUAAGACGACCUCAGCCCCCCAGGACUACCCGCUGAACUUAA